Non-coding RNA from Candidatus Desantisbacteria bacterium CG1_02_49_89, 84 nucleotides. Lineage: Bacteria; Candidatus Desantisiibacteriota. The record is from Rfam.
GCCGAAGUGGCGGAAUUGGCAUACGCCUACGGCUCAGGACCGUAGGGGCGAAAGCCCUUGGGGGUUCAACUCCCCCCUUCGGCA